GGGAAUAUUGCACAAUGGGCGCAAGCCUGAUGCAGCGACGCCGCGUGAGGGACGACGGCCUUCGGGUUGUAAACCUCUUUCAGUAGGGACGAAGCGCAAGUGACGGUACUUACAGAAGAAGGACCGGCCAACUACGUGCCAGCAGCCGCGGUAAUACGUAGGGUCCGAGCGUUGUCCGGAAUUACUGGGCGUAAAGAGCUCGUAGGUGGUUUGUCGCGUUGUUCGUGAAAACUCACAGCUUAACUGUGGGCGUGCGGGCGAUACGGGCAGACUGGAGUACUGCAGGGGAGACUGGAAUUCCUGGUGUAGCGGUGGAAUGCGCAGAUAUCAGGAGGAACACCAGUGGCGAAGGCGGGUCUCUGGGCAGUAACUGACGCUGAGGAGCGAAAGCGUGGGGAGCGAAC
Molecule: ribosomal RNA, 404 nt
Filed under: uncultured bacterium
Lineage: Bacteria
Description: bacterial SSU rRNA
Rfam family: Bacterial small subunit ribosomal RNA
Source: RNAcentral